GCCUUGCUAGCUCAGUCGGCAGAGCGUCAGACUCUUAAUCUGAAUGUCGCGGGUUCGAACCCCGCGUAGGGCU
Molecule: transfer RNA, 73 nt
Filed under: Anaeramoeba flamelloides
Lineage: Eukaryota; Anaeramoebidae
Description: tRNA-Lys
Rfam family: tRNA
About the family: Transfer RNA (tRNA) molecules are approximately 80 nucleotides in length. Their secondary structure includes four short double-helical elements and three loops (D, anti-codon, and T loops).
Source: RNAcentral